GUGAGGAAUUUUCCGCAAUGGGCGAAAGCCUGACGGAGCAAUGCCGCGUGAAGGAUGAAGGCCUAUGGGUUGUAAACUUCUUUUCUCAGAAAAGAAUUAUGACGGUAUCUGAGGAAUAAGCAUCGGCUAACUCUGUGCCAGCAGCCGCGGUACGACAGAGGACGCAAGCGUUAUCCGGAAUGAUUGGGCGUAAAGCGUCUGUAGGUUGUUUAAAAAGUAUUCUGUCAACGAUUAGGGCUUAACCCUAGAUAGGCAGAAUAAACUUUUAAGCUAGAGUUUGGUAGAGGCAGAGGGAAUUCCCGGUGGAGCGGUGAAAUGCGUAGAUAUCGGGAGGAACACCAAAGGCGAAGGCACUCUGCUGGGCCAAUACUAACACUGAGAGACGAAAGCGAGGGGAGCAAAUGGGAUUAGAUACCCGAGUAGUCC
This 426-nucleotide ribosomal RNA is filed under the name uncultured bacterium. Its description in RNAcentral is "bacterial SSU rRNA". It matches the Rfam family "Bacterial small subunit ribosomal RNA", at positions 354 to 796 of the family's 1533-position model. The record is from RNAcentral.